Molecule: ribosomal RNA, 465 nt
Filed under: Vreelandella stevensii
Lineage: Bacteria; Pseudomonadati; Pseudomonadota; Gammaproteobacteria; Oceanospirillales; Halomonadaceae
Description: partial 16S ribosomal RNA
Rfam family: Bacterial small subunit ribosomal RNA
Source: RNAcentral
CCUACGGGCGGCAGCAGUGGGGAAUAUUGGACAAUGGGCGAAAGCCUGAUCCAGCCAUGCCGCGUGUGUGAAGAAGGCCUUCGGGUUGUAAAGCACUUUCAGUGGGGAAGAAAGCCUUGGGGCUAAUACCCUCGAGGAAGGACAUCACCCACAGAAGAAGCACCGGCUAACUCCGUGCCAGCAGCCGCGGUAAUACGGAGGGUGCGAGCGUUAAUCGGUAUUACUGGGCGUAAAGCGCGCGUAGGCGGUCUGAUAAGCCGGUUGUGAAAGCCCCGGGCUCAACCUGGGAACGGCAUCCGGAACUGUCAGGCUAGAGUGCAGGAGAGGAAGGUAGAAUUCCCGGUGUAGCGGUGAAAUGCGUAGAGAUCGGGAGGAAUACCAGUGGCGAAGGCGGCCUUCUGGACUGACACUGACGCUGAGGUGCGAAAGCGUGGGUAGCAAACAGGAUUAGAUACCCGAGUAGUC